This 104-nucleotide transfer RNA is filed under the name Methanobacteriota archaeon. RNAcentral describes it as "Euryarchaeota archaeon (groundwater metagenome) tRNA-Val". It matches the Rfam family "tRNA". Rfam says of the family: Transfer RNA (tRNA) molecules are approximately 80 nucleotides in length. RNAcentral also lists the same sequence under 1 other name. Lineage: Archaea; Methanobacteriati; Methanobacteriota. The record is from RNAcentral.
GGGCCGGUGGUCUAGUGGUUUUGGUGCGUGCAAAAGCCCGUGCCACCGCAAAUGACGUCGCCUUUACAAGGCGAAGAUCGGCUGUUCAAUUCCGCCUCGGCCCA